Molecule: ribosomal RNA, 1528 nt
Filed under: human gut metagenome
Description: bacterial LSU rRNA
Rfam family: Bacterial large subunit ribosomal RNA
Source: RNAcentral
CUAAAUACUACCCAGUGACCGAUAGCGUAUAGUACUGUGAAGGAAAGGUGAAAAGGACCCCGGGAGGGGAGUGAAAUAGAACCUGAAACCUUGUGCCUACAAGCACAUAGAGCACAUCAACGUGUGAUAUGGUACUUUUUGUAGAACGGUCCGGCGAGCGAUUGUAUGUUGCGAGCUUAAGGUCUUAAGGACUGGAGGCGCAGCGAGAGCGAGUCUGAAGAGGGCGUUCAGUAACAUGCAAUGGGCCCGAAACCGGGUGACCUACCCAUGAUCAGGCUGAAGUGAAAGUAAAAUUUCAUGGAGGGCCGAACCGACCUCCGUUGAAAAGGCGGCGGAUGAAUUGUGGGUAGCGGAGAAAUUCCAAUCGAACUCGGAGAUAGCUGGUUCUCCCCGAAAUAGCUUUAGGGCUAGCCUCAUAUUAGAUACCCGGAGGUAAAGCACUGAAUGGCCUAGCGCCCGAGAGGGUAGCGAAGCCUAUCAAACUAAGAAUGCCGGAGUAUUGAUGUAUGGGAGUCAGACAGUGUGAGAUAAAUCUCAUUGUCAAAAGGGAAACAGCCCAGAUCUACAGCUAAGGUCCCAAAUUGUAUCUAAGUGGAAAACGAUGUGGAAAUACGCAGACAACCAGGAUGUUGGCUCAGAAGCAGCCACUCAUUUAAAGAGUGCGUAAUAGCUCACUGGUCGAGAGACCCUGCGCCGAAGAUUCCCGGGGCUAAAGUACGAAACCGAAGCUGUGGCUGUAUACGUAAAGUAUACGGGGUAGGGGAGCGUUCCCAUAGGGUAGAAGUCGAACUGGAAGGUUCGGUGGACUUGUGGGAAGUGAGAAUGUUGGUAUGAGUAGCGAAAAGAAAGGUGAGAAUCCUUUCCACCGAAAGCAUAAGGAUUCCUGAGCAACGAUCGUCGUCUCAGGGUAAGUCGGGACCUAAUCCGAGGCAGAGAGCGUAGGAGAUGGACAACUGGUUGAUAUUCCAGUACCGGUAGUAAUUGUUUGAGCAAUGGAGUGACACAGAAGGGCAGGCAAGCAUGCGAAUGGAAGAGCAUGUGUAAGCGUGUAGGGUGGUGCAUAGGCAAAUCCGUGCACUGAAAGCCUGAGGCGUGAUGCGGAGUGAGCAGAGAUGCGAGCGAAGUUGUUGACCCCACACUGUCGAGAAAAGCUUCUAGUGAGAGAGCUACCGCCCGUACCGUAAACCGACACAGGUAUGCGGGGAGAGAAUCCUAAGGUGCGCGGGAGAACCCUCGUUAAGGAACUCGGCAAAAUGUACCCGUAACUUCGGGAUAAGGGUAGCCACUGUUGUGAAGUCCCAUGCGGAUGGAGCAUAGAGUGGUCGCAGAGAAGAGGCCCAAGCGACUGUUUACCAUAAACACAGGUGCCUGCUAAAGCGAAAGCUGACGUAUAGGUGCUGACACCUGCCCAGUGCCGGAAGGUUAAGGAAGGAUGUUCGGAUUAGUCCAAAGCAUUCGACUGAAGCCCCGGUGAACGGCGGCCGUAACUAUAACGGUCCUAAGGUAGCGAAAUUCCUUGUCGGGUAAG